GUUUAGACAGCCAGGAGGUUGGCUUAGAAGCAGCCAUCCUUUAAAGAAAGCGUAAUAGCUCACUGGUCUAAUGACUCCGCGCCGAAAAUGUAACGGGGCUAAGCACAUUACCGAAGCUUCGGGUUCACGAUUUAUCGUGAGCGGUAGGAGAGCGUUCUCACAGCGUUGAAGGUGAAGGCGUAAGCCACGCUGGAGAUGUGAGAAGUGAAUAUGCUGGCAUGAGUAACGAUAAAGGAAGUGAGAAACUUCCUCGCCGUAAAUCCAAGGUUUUCUGGGUAAAGGUAAUCUGCCCAGAGUUAGUCGGCCCCUAAGGUGAGGCAGAAAUGCGUAACUGAUGGGAAACAGGUUAAUAUUCCUGUACCUCGUAAAGUGUGCGAUGGAGGAACGCAGGAGGAUAGCUCAUCCGGGUGUUGGAUAUCCCGGUGUAAGCAAGUAGGCUUGAGGAAUUGGUAAAUCCGUUCUUCUUAUGGCUGAGAUGCGAUGCCGUGACCGCAAGGUCUGAAGUGAGUGAGUCCAUGCUGCCAAGAAAAGCUUCUAAGUUUAGCUUUACGAGACCGUACCGUAAACCGACUCAGGUGGAUGGGGUGAGUAACCCAAGGCGUUUGAGAUAACUCUGGCUAAGGAAUUCGGCAAAAUGACCCCGUAAGUUCGCAAUAAGGGGUGCUCCUAAGGGUUAACAAUUUACUUGCUAAGCCCUCGGGAGCCGCAGAUAAAUGGGGGGGGCGACUGUUUACUAAAAACAUAGGGCUCUGCGAAGUCGUAAGACGACGUAUAGGGCCUGACGCCUGCCCGGUGCUGGAAGGUUAAGGGGAGAUGUUAGUCUUUGACGAAGCAUUGAACCGAAGCCCCAGUAAACGGCGGCCGUAACUAUAACGGUCCUAAGGUAGCGAAAUUCCUUGUCGGGUAAGUUCCGACCUGCACGAAUGGCGUAACGAUCUCCCCACUGUCUCGGCCAGAGACUCAGUGAAAUUGAAUUGGCGGUGAAGAUGCCGUCUACCCGCAGCAAGACGGAAAGACCCUGUGCACCUUUACUACAGCUUGACAUUGGAUUUUGGAUUAACAUGUGUAGGAUAGGUGGGAGGCUUUGAAGUCGGCACGCUAGUGUCGGUGGAGCCAUCCUUGAAAUACCACCCUUGUUAAUUUAAGGUUCUAAUCCG
This 1157-nucleotide ribosomal RNA is filed under the name Desulfovibrio desulfuricans. Its description in RNAcentral is "bacterial LSU rRNA". It matches the Rfam family "Bacterial large subunit ribosomal RNA", at positions 1083 to 2229 of the family's 2925-position model. The record is from RNAcentral. RNAcentral also lists the same sequence under 1 other name. Lineage: Bacteria; Pseudomonadati; Thermodesulfobacteriota; Desulfovibrionia; Desulfovibrionales; Desulfovibrionaceae.